This is a non-coding RNA of Phoenix dactylifera (date palm), 3024 nucleotides long. The record is from RefSeq and is a predicted model, not a curated record. Lineage: Eukaryota; Viridiplantae; Streptophyta; Magnoliopsida; Arecales; Arecaceae.
AUAUUUUUUUUCAUUGUAUUGUAUAUUUGGAUGCCAGGAAAGGGCUAUGGCUUCGGCAAACCUCUCCUCUUAUUAACAAGUCAGAGAGAGACCUCGUCGGAUCUGGGAAUCUAGCGAGAUAUAAAUCGAACGCCGGCGUCGUCCCUCAUCGGAGAGACCACACAAAGAAGAGACGAGAGGGAGAGGAGAAGAAGAAGGAAUGGCGGCGGGCGACGUUCCUCCUCUGGACGAGAAGGCGAAGCGGACGAGGGAGCUGCUGGCGAGCUUCUAUUCCCCGGAUCCCUCCUCCGCCGCCUCGUCCUCCCCCCACGCCAAACCCGCCUCUCUCGACUCCAUCAACUCACCCGCCUUCGAUCCCGACGUCUACAUGGGCCUUCUGAUUCAAAAGUCAAAUUUGGAGGGGCUUCUUCAGAAGCAUGUUGAGAUGGCAGCUGAGAUCAAGAAUCUUGAUACUGAUUUACAGAUGUUAGUUUAUGAAAAUUAUAAUAAGUUCAUCAGUGCUACGGACACUAUAAAAAGGAUGAAAAAUAACAUUGUUGGAAUGGAGGCAAAUAUGGAUCAACUCCUUGCUAAGAUUACAUCUGUUCAAUCCAGGAGUGACGUAGUGAAUACAUCUUUAUUUGAGAAGAGAGAACAUAUAGAGAAGUUGCAUCGCACUCGAAAUCUUCUUCGUAAAGUUCAAUUUAUUUAUGAUCUUCCGACUCGACUCGGAAAAUGUAUAAAAACGGAAGCAUAUACGGAUGCAGUGAGGUUUUUCACUGGAGCCAAGCCAAUUUUUGAGGCAUAUGGGGAUUCAUCCUUCCAAGAUUGUAAGAAAGCAUCUGAAGAGGCAAUGGACUUAGUCAUUCAGAACCUUCAGGCAAAGAUUUAUUCGGAUUCUGAACCUAUUGAAGCAAGAGCUGAAGCUGUUGUACUUCUAAAGCAGCUAAACUUCCCUGUGGAUAGCUUAAAGGCAAAUCUACUGGAAAAGUUGGAGGACUAUAUGUCAAAAUUUCAAAAUGAAUCUAACGAGGUGGAGGCUUCAGAACCAGACAGUAGCGGACCAUCUAAGGCUUCCGUUGGCAAAAUUUCUAGGACUGUCCGUGCGUAUCUUAUAAUAUUUCCCGACUCAGAAAAGCGACUUAUUGAACUUGCCCAGGACUUGUUUACCAGGUGCUAUGAAAAUGUUCAACAGAGCAUAAUGAAAAGAAUGCCAUCAGCAGAACUAUUGGCAAUGCUGCGAAAUAUGUCAGAAGAUGUGACUCUGAUGGAUAAUGUAUUGCCUGAGGCUGCUCUCCCUGCUUUUUCUUUGGAGGCUGUCAGGUCCCUUGUCAGACAGUAUAUCUCAACUGCCUUCUCUUAUCUUCUGCUUGAAGUUUCAGAAGCACUCACAAAGUUCCAACCUAAGCCAAAGGAAGGUUUAGAAGAGUCUUCAUUGCAAAUUGCCUUUGAAGGUGGCAAAAAAGCAGUAAUUCAGGGCAGUAUGGAUCUGUUGCUGGAAUUCCGUCAGCUUCUUGAUGGUAAUCUAGAGUUAUUAGCAAAGCUGAGGGACUUAAUUAUUGAUUGGGUGCAAGAAGGUUUUCAAGACUUCUUUCAGAAACUUUAUGGACAUUUCCUUUUGCUUUCUGGAAGAAGUAACAUUACAAAUCAGGAUUCAAGCAUUACAGAUUCAAUACCAGUGGACAAAAUUCAGACAGGACUGGUUCUUGUGCUGGCCCAACUUUCUGUUUUUAUAGAACAAAGUGCAAUUCCUAGAAUUACAGAGGAAAUAGCUGCUUCUUUUUCUGGAGGUGGUGUCCGUGGUUAUGAACAUGGACCGGCAUUUGUACCUGGAGAGAUCUGCCGACUAUUUCGUUCAGCUGGCGAAAAGUUUUUGCAUCUUUAUAUAAAUAUGAAAACUCAGAAGAUAUCUGUCCUUCUCAAAAAGAGGUUCACAACACCAAAUUGGAUCAAGCACAAGGAGCCACGAGAAGUUCACAUGUUUGUUGAUUUGCUUCUUCAAGAGCUGGAAGCUGUUGCAGUUGAAGUUGGACAGAUUUUACCUCGUGGGAUUAUUCGAAGGCAUCGCCGUUCUGACAGCACAGGAAGUACUAAUUCCUCUCGAAGUAAUCCAAUGCGUGAAGAUAAAUUAAACCGGUCAAAUACACAACGUGCUAGGAGCCAAUUUUUGGAAAAUCAUCUUGCAAAAUUAUUUGAGCAGAAAAUGGAGAUUUUUACAAAAGUUGAAUACACACAGGAGUCGGUUCUAUCAACUAUAGUAAAACUAUGCCUGAAAAGCUUGCAAGAGUUUGUACGGCUCCAAACAUUCAAUCGAAGUGGAUUCCAGCAGAUUCAGUUAGAUAUUGAAUUCCUGAAGAAUCCCAUGAAAGAGUUUGUUGAUGAUGAGGCAGCCAUAGAUUUCCUACUAAAAGAGGUGAUCAAUGCUUCUCACGAGAGGUGCCUUGACCCAAUUCCCCUGGAGCCCCCGAUACUGGACAAGCUCAUAAAUGCCAAGUUAGCCAAGAACAGGGAGCAGAGCUCAAAUUCUCAUUCACAAUGAACAUGGAAAAAUAGGUAGGGCUAUAAUGUGUUUCACCCAUGGUUCGCUGAACUAGUACCGGAGGGCAUACCAGUCAGCAGCCGGUUUGGCACGAGUGCCAGAACCUGAUCGAGGUCAAGGGGCUUUUGGUUUAUUUGUAAAGCAUCCCCCGUUAAUGUUGGAUGUGGGUUCCAUGUUAAAUGCAGCAUUCACUCUGUUCUAUGUAACCUUAUUGUUUAUAUCAUAUAUGGGUUUUCUCGGAAUCUUCAGAACAAAAAUAUAGCAAGUUUGUUGAAGAAUUUUCAGGAGGAUGACUUGAACUAGCGUAACUUGCCUGGCAUUCUUUUCUAAGGGGGAGUGCAGGCAUGGAAUCAGCUAUCCACUCUUCUUACUGCAUACAAACAACCAGACUUUUUACUAGUUUAAUGGAGGUUCAUUGUAACAUUUUCUUAUUCGAGGUGAACAAGGUUAGAUUGAUCACUUGUAAUCAUUUUUGUUAUAUAAAUCAUUCUUUCUUGUCUUCCAUC